UAAUUACAGGUGACAUUUCCAUCAGUGAAAC
RNAcentral lists this non-coding RNA (31 nucleotides) under Rattus norvegicus (Norway rat). The record is from RNAcentral. Lineage: Eukaryota; Metazoa; Chordata; Mammalia; Rodentia; Muridae.